This 788-nucleotide ribosomal RNA is filed under the name uncultured bacterium. Its description in RNAcentral is "bacterial SSU rRNA". It matches the Rfam family "Bacterial small subunit ribosomal RNA", at positions 28 to 755 of the family's 1533-position model. The record is from RNAcentral.
GACGAACGCUGGCGGCGUGCCUAAUACAUGCAAGUCGAGCGAAGUUUUUCUGGUGCUUGCACUAGAAAAACUUAGCGGCGAACGGGUGAGUAACACGUAAAGAACCUGCCUCAUAGACGGGGACAACUAUUGGAAACGAUAGCUAAUACCGGAUAACAGCAUAAAUCGCAUGAUAUAUGUUUAAAAGUUGGUUUCGGCUAACACUAUGAGGUGGCUUUGCGGUGCAUUAGCUAGUUGGUGGGGUAAAGGCCUACCAAGGCGACGAUGCAUAGCCGACCUGAGAGGGUGAUCGGCCACACUGGGACUGAGACACGGCCCAGACUCCUACGGGAGGCGGCAGUAGGGAAUCUUCCGCAAUGGGCGAAAGCCUGACGGAGCAACGCCGCGUGAGUGAAGAAGGAUUUCGGUUCGUAAAGCUCUGUUGUUAGGGAAGAAUGAUUGUAUAGUAACUAUAUACAGUAGAGACGGUACCUAACCAGAAAGCCACGGCUAACUACGUGCCAGCAGCCGCGGUAAUACGUAGGUGGCAAGCGUUGUCCGGAAUUAUUGGGCGUAAAGCGCGCGCAGGUGGUUUAAUAAGUCUGAUGUGAAAGCCCACGGCUCAACCGUGGAGGGUCAUUGGAAACUGUUAAACUUGAGUGCAGGAGAGAAAAGUGGAUUCCUAGUGUAUCGGUGAAAAUGCUUAAGAUUAGGAGGAAAACCCGUUGCAAGGAGGUUUCUGGUAUAAAGUGAGCCGAAAGCGAGAUGGUGGGGAUCAACUUAUUAUAAUUCUCUUUUUCCUGGGUGCG